AGAAUCAACGCUGGCGGCGUGCCUAACACAUGCAAGUCGCACGAGAAAGGGACUUCGGUCCUGAGUAAAGUGGCGCACGGGUGAGUAACACGUGAAUCAUCUACCUCCGAAUGGGGAAUAACUGAGAGAAAUCUUAGCUAAUACCGCAUAAUACCUACGGGUCAAAGCAGCAAUGCGUUUGGAGAGGAGUUCGCGGUCGAUUAGUUAGUUGGCGGGGUAAUGGCCCACCAAGACGAUGAUCGAUAUCCGGCCUGAGAGGGCGCACGGACACACUGGAACUGAAACACGGUCCAGACUCCUACGGGAGGCAGCAGUGGGGAAUUUUGCGCAAUGGGGGAAACCCUGACGCAGCAACGCCGCGUGGAGGAUGAAAUAUCUUGGUAUGUAAACUCCUUUCGAUGGGGAAGAUAAUGACGGUACCCAUAGAAGAAGCCCCGGCUAACUCGCGCCAGCAGCCGC
RNAcentral lists this ribosomal RNA (459 nucleotides) under uncultured bacterium. RNAcentral's name for it is "SSU rRNA". It matches the Rfam family "Bacterial small subunit ribosomal RNA", at positions 26 to 518 of the family's 1533-position model. The record is from RNAcentral.